AGGGCUUUUUUGGUACUGAAGAUUGCUGA
RNAcentral lists this non-coding RNA (29 nucleotides) under Rattus norvegicus (Norway rat). Lineage: Eukaryota; Metazoa; Chordata; Mammalia; Rodentia; Muridae. The record is from RNAcentral.